This 459-nucleotide ribosomal RNA is filed under the name uncultured bacterium. RNAcentral describes it as "partial 16S ribosomal RNA". It matches the Rfam family "Bacterial small subunit ribosomal RNA", at positions 338 to 795 of the family's 1533-position model. The record is from RNAcentral.
CCUACGGGCGGCAGCAGUGAGGAAUAUUGGUCAAUGGCCGGAAGGCUGAACCAGCCAAGCCGCGUGAAGGACGAAGGUGCUAAGCAUUUUAAACUUUUUCUGUCAAGGGACAAAAUCAGGCUCGCGAGCCUGACCGAGGGUACUUGAAGAAAAAGCAUCGCCUCACUCGGUGCUAGCAGCCGCGGUAAUACGGGGGAUGCGAGCGUUAUCGGGAUUUAUUGGGUUUAAAGGGUGCGUAGGGGGAAUUUUAAGUCAGCGGGAAAAGCCCGGGGCUCAAACUCGGCGAGCCGUUGAUACUGGCAGUCUUGAGUUGACGAGAGGUAUGCGGAAUGCGUAGUGUAGCGGUGAAAUGCUUAGAUAUUGCGCAGAACUCCGAUUGCGAAGGCAGCAUGCCGGCGGCGAUCUGACGCUGAGGCACGAAAGCGUGGGUAUCGAACAGGAUUAGAUACCCCGGUAGUC